This 492-nucleotide ribosomal RNA is filed under the name uncultured bacterium. RNAcentral's name for it is "partial 16S ribosomal RNA". It matches the Rfam family "Bacterial small subunit ribosomal RNA", at positions 29 to 507 of the family's 1533-position model. The record is from RNAcentral.
AGUGAACGCUGGCGGUAGGCCUAACACAUGCAAGUCGAACGGCAGCACAGUAAGAGCUUGCUCUUACGGGUGGCGAGUGGCGGACGGGUGAGGAAUACAUCGGAAUCUACUUUUUCGUGGGGGAUAACGUAGGGACACUUACGCUAAUACCGCAUACGACCUACGGGUGAAAGCAGGGGAUCUUCGGACCUUGCGCGAUUGAUUGAGCCGGUGUCGGAUUAGCUAGUUGGCGGGGUAAAGGCCCACCAAGGCGACGAUCCGUAGCUGGUCUGAGAGGAUGAUCGGCCACACUGGAACUGAGACACGGUCCAGACUCCUACGGGAGGCAGCAGUGGGGAAUAUUGGACAAUGGGCGCAAGCCUGAUCCAGCCAUACCGCGUGGGUGAAGAAGGCCUUCGGGUUGUAAAGCCCUUUUGUUGGGAAAGAAAAGCAGCAGGUUAAUACCCCGCUGUUCUGACGGUACCCAAAGAAUAAGCACCGGCUAACUUCGUG